UUAACUUAAAUUUGUAUGGAGUUGGAACGUUUGCCUACGUUUGCCGCCAGGGGCGCUGUUCCAACUGCAUAUAAAUUUGAUUUA
RNAcentral lists this microRNA precursor (84 nucleotides) under Bombyx mori (domestic silkworm). RNAcentral describes it as "mir-2807 microRNA precursor family". It matches the Rfam family "mir-2807 microRNA precursor family". Lineage: Eukaryota; Metazoa; Arthropoda; Insecta; Lepidoptera; Bombycidae. The record is from Rfam by way of RNAcentral.